RNAcentral lists this ribosomal RNA (500 nucleotides) under uncultured bacterium. RNAcentral describes it as "partial 16S ribosomal RNA". It matches the Rfam family "Bacterial small subunit ribosomal RNA", at positions 28 to 507 of the family's 1533-position model. The record is from RNAcentral.
GACGAACGCUGGCGGCGUGCUUAACACAUGCAAGUCGAACGGGUCUGCCCUGUUUUUUGCGGGGUGGGUCAGUGGCGAACGGGUGAGUAACACGUGAGUAACCUGCCCCUCACUUCUGGAUAACCGCUUGAAAGGGUGGCUAAUACGGGGUGUUCUGGCUGUGCCGCAUGGUGUGGCUGGGAAAGAUUCACUUUUGUGGUGUUUUGGUGGGGGAUGGGCUCGCGGCCUAUCAGCUUGGUGGUGGGGUGAUGGCCUUCCAAGGCUUUGACGGGUAGCCGGCCUGAGAGGGUGGGCGGUCACACUGGGACUGAGAUACGGCCCAGACUCCUGCGGGAGGCAGCAGUGGGGGGUAUUGCACAAUGGGCGGAAGCCUGAUGCAGCGACGUCGCGUGAGGGAUGGAGGCCUGCGGGUUGUGAACCUCUUUCGCCGGUGAAGAAGGUCCUGCUCUUUGUGGUGGGGUUGACGGUAGCCGGGUUAUGAAGCGCCGGCUAACUACGUG